CAUACCAUCCAAUCUUGUUUCCCCACGCAUCCGUAUCUCGUUCUUGGAAUCCAGCCGGACUUGAAUCCGGUAUCUCCCCUUCCACCAAAUCACUUAAUUUGAGUUUCUUGACCCAAACUGGUAUCCACGCGCACCUCAAAUCAUCCCAUGAUACUUCUCCUGCGUAUUGGCCGGAGCUAUCCGCUUGCGCAAGAGUUUCUUGUCUCAAAACAAGAUCCAAUGCUGAGCGGGUCAGGAACUGACCUCGGUACUCCCAAAUCUCCUCGGAACUGUCGGAUCCUGCCAGUGACACCGCCGGUGAGGACGGAGCCGGUGUGGGCUUGGCAGCGAUGCCGAGGGUCUGAAGCUCCUUUACAUCUAUGGAUUUGAAUUCGGAAGCAUUAGGAGACGAAUGACGUGAUGAAGCGGGGGAGCGCCCAAGUUCCUGUAGGCAAAAUCCAUUUGAUCAUCCAACAAAUCGACAGACAACGCAGCACUUAUAGCAAGAAUGGAUUCGACAGCACCUCGAAAAAUUCGUAGGAGAUGUCGACAAUUUCGGUGUACCAUACUAUGUUAGAGAUCAAGCAGACAUCGAUCAAGUAGUCUGGACCUGAGCAAUGUGAUCUAACACUUGCACGAGCGUCAUCAGCGUAUCUCUUGCCACAAUAUCCGGUAGAGCGGCGACAUUCUUGAUCUCUCCAUCAACUUUAGCAUAAAUCUGUUGAAGGGUGACUGUCCGAUUAUCAAUCAUAAUUCCUUGCCCGGGGAUAGGAAAAGGCAUACUAAGAGAUGGGGAAGGCCUAGACUCGAUGUACGGCUUCAUUUCAUUGAU
RNAcentral lists this small RNA (811 nucleotides) under Cryptococcus neoformans H99. RNAcentral's name for it is "Cryptococcus neoformans var. grubii H99 hypothetical RNA". Lineage: Eukaryota; Fungi; Basidiomycota; Tremellomycetes; Tremellales; Cryptococcaceae. The record is from RNAcentral.